Long non-coding RNA from Carassius gibelio (silver crucian carp), 498 nucleotides. RefSeq lists it as uncharacterized. Lineage: Eukaryota; Metazoa; Chordata; Actinopteri; Cypriniformes; Cyprinidae. The transcript is spliced from 3 exons. The record is from RefSeq and is a predicted model, not a curated record.
UAAAAACUGACCAUUGUUUAUUUCUACUUAUUAGAAAUGAUGUCUUUAUAGCCCUCCAAAUCACCAUUUGGACCCAUAUCUCAAAAAUGCUGCAGUAAAAUGGUUUGAUAUGAGGUGUGCAAAUAGUAUGGGACGUCCCUUAUAGGAACAGACCAUUGUUUUUUUCUACUUAUUAGAAAUGGGAUCUUUACAGCCAUUUAAAGUGUAAUAAUGUCCCAUAUCUCGAAAAUGCUGCAGUAAAAUGGUUUGAUAUGAGGUGUGCAAAUAGUAUGGGACGUCCCUUAUAGGAACAGACCAUUGUUUUUUUCUACUUAUUAGAAAUGGGAUCUUUACAGCCAUUUAAAGUGUAAUAAUGUCCCAUAUCUCGAAAAUGCUGCAGUAAAAUGGUUUGAUAUGAGGUGUGCAUAUAGUAUGGCAUGUCCUUUAUAAGAACUGACCAUUGUUUUUUUCUACUUAUUAGAAAUUAUGUCUUUAUAGCCCUCCAAAUCACCAUUUGAA